Molecule: ribosomal RNA, 253 nt
Filed under: uncultured bacterium
Lineage: Bacteria
Description: partial 16S ribosomal RNA
Rfam family: Bacterial small subunit ribosomal RNA
Source: RNAcentral
UACGAAGGGGGCUGGCGUUGUUCGGAUUUACUGGGCGUAAAGCGCGCGUAGGCGGAUCGUUAAGUCGGGGGUGAAAUCCUGGAGCUCAACUCCAGAACUGCCUUCGAUACUGGCGAUCUUGAGUCCGGAAGAGGUGAGUGGAACUCCUAGUGUAGAGGUGGAAUUCGUAGAUAUUAGGAAGAACACCAGUGGCGAAGGCGGCUCACUGGUCCGGUACUGACGCUGAGGUGCGAAAGCGUGGGGAGCAAACAGG